Molecule: long non-coding RNA, 11306 nt
Organism: Cuculus canorus (common cuckoo)
Lineage: Eukaryota; Metazoa; Chordata; Aves; Cuculiformes; Cuculidae
Exons: 4
Source: RefSeq, a predicted model, not a curated record
AGAAAAUUCUGCAUCUACAUGCUAUGUGGGUUAAUAUAUGGGCUUCUUGAAAAUUAAGUUCUCUCUACUGUGGAACAUGAGAGACAGAUUGGAUCAACAGCGCUGCACAAUCACUUAGGGAAUCAUAGAAUUGUUUGGCUGGAAAAGGCCUUUGAGAUCAUUGAGUCCAACUGUACCUGUCCACUACUAAACCACAUCCCUGAGCACCUUGUCUACCCAUUUUUUAAAUACAUUCAGGGAUGGUAACUCAGUAAAGAAUUUUUUUCUAAUCUGAACUUCCCCAGUCACAGCUUGUGGCCAUUCCCUCUUGUCCUAUCGCCUGUCACUUGGGAGAAAAGACCAGUACCCACCUCACUACAACCUCCUUUCAGGCAGUUGUAGACAGUGAUAGGGUCUCCCCUCACCUUCCUUUUUUCUAGGCUAAAACUAUCCCAAUUUCCUCAGCCAAUCCUCAUAAGGCUUAUGCUCCAGCCCCUUCACCAGGUUAUUGGAAGAGAACAGUAGUAAUUACAAAGUUCCCUGAAGAAGAUUUCACAAAAGGUGUGUAGUUUAGAACAAGGCAAUUACCUCUGUGAGCUGGCAUUUAUCCAGCUGGAAUUUGGAAGGACUUUUAAUCAAACAGAAAAGAUUAGAAUCUGUUUUUCCAUCAUCUUGUUCCAACAUAAAGUUCAAACAACAAUGAAAUUCAGAUUUAGGUAUGGAAACUGUUCUUUUAAAUUGCUCUCCUUCGUAUGCCUUACUGCUUUGUCUGUAUGACAGGAACUUUUGGUUGAGGAACACUGAGUUACAGGCAAUCUGGCCUUACAUAGAGUGGCAGUGGUCCUACAAGCCUUGCAGGAACUAGGGUCAAGCUUCUCCAGAACUCACCUCUUGCAACAUUAAUAGCUUCCUCUUCUGCUACUGUUUAUGUCAAUGCCUCUCUUAUUAUAGGGACAAGCUGUGUGAAAAGGGGUCAGAUGACUCCCCAUCAUUCGCUUGGGCAAAUCAUGGAACAUGAUAGACUAUUAAACCCCUUCUUAGGCUCAGAAGUCUUCAAGUCCUUCAGAGCUUGGUAGAUGGAUGUUUGGAAACGCCCAUGGAGAACAGCAUGGAAAUAUUCCAGAGGAGGAGCUUGACUGGAUAUUAUGGAACAUCCAAGUCAUUUUUGUGGAGUUUUCAGAAUACAGCAUCUAUUAUUUUCUGGUCUUUUCUUUUCUUUCCUUGUGCUUAUGAGCUUUUCCCUCUUCCCAGUGUGUGCAAGAGUGGGGGGAAAAAAGUAUUAGUUUGGAAAUCCAACAUGUUAAGAAGUCCAAUGCUAGUGCAGGGAAGUCAAUCACCAUGUAGCUUUCCAGCUCCUUCAGGCAGUGCAGACAGAGCAACAGAGACAGUAUUUAAAGCAAGAUGAAUACACUUUGAAACAAUUCCCAGGUGAGUAUGGCACACAUUCUCUGCGGCAUGCUCAUUCCACAGAUCGCUUCACUAGUCAAGAGCAUAUCAAACACUUUUACAAAAAGUGUUUGGGAUUAGGUUUUAAGAAAGGUUUUUAUCCAGCCAGUUACAUGUCACAAAUAUCAGCAAGGGCUCCAUUAAUGUCUUCUGAAGACAUGAAUGUGGCAGAUAUUUAUAGGUCUCGGAUUGUCCUCCUUGCCUGUGCCGUUGUGCAGGCAAUUGAAGGCUGUAUGUGUGGAAUUCCUCUCCUUAGACUUCACAAGACCACUGAAAGCAAAUGCCAACUAAAAACUUUCUCUAAAAAGCUUUUACCCACCAGUCGGUCUACGACCCUACACAUUUAGCAGCAAGAUGAGAAUCACAGUAGCUCCUUAUAAAGUGAUGGCUGCAUAGGGGCCAGAAGAAAGCACAGCUCCUAGGGAAAGCUCUCUGGCCACUUCACUUGGCUCCUUCAACCUCUAACUUUCAAGGCAAGGUUUAACUAACCCUUUUUCAUAAAGACAGUGGAAAGGAAUCAAAAUAAAAGCUGUGUGCCUACCAUGUUUAAGCCAUUCAUAAAUGAGACAUAGGGGAAUUAUCUGCAUCCAACCAUCUUUAAAGUUUACGUGUGACACAGCACUGGUGACUUAUGUUUGUACCAUAACUGAGGUCCCAGCUGACAGCUAGCAGGUAUGUUAAAUUCCCAAAAGCAGAGUUGCUUCCUGAUUUAGGAUCAAAAGACCCAAUCCAUUAGUAAAGAAUUCCUUCAUUUGGACCUGAUGAGAUUGCAUCCCAGAGUCCUGUGGGGAUUAGCUGAUGUGGUUCUCCAAGCCAGUCUCCAUGAUAUUUAUAAAGUCAUGGUAGUCAGAAGUCCCUGGUGAUUAGAAGAGUAAUAUUGUCCCCAUUUUUAAAGAGGGUAGAAAAGAUGACCCUGGGAACCACCAACCUGUCAGCCUCACCUCUGAGCCUGGGAAGAUCAUAGAGCCUCCUAGAAGCUAUGCUAAAUCACAUGGAGAUGGGAGAGGUGAUUAGUGGGAGCCAGCAUGGCUUCAUCAAGGGGAAGUCCUGUCUUAUCAACUUAGUAGCUUUCUAUAAUGGGAAAACCACAUCAGUGGACAUAGGAAAAGCAAUGGAUGUAAUCUAUAUGGACUUCCGUAAAGCCUUUGACAUGGUCCUCCACAACAUGCUUCUCUCAAAAUUGGAGAGAUAUGGAUUUGAUGGGUGGACUCUAUGGUGAAUAAGAACUUGGUUGGAUGGUCAUAUUCAGAAAGUAGUGGUCAACGGCUCGAUGUCCAGAUGGAAAUCCAUGACAAGUUGUAUCUCUCAGGGGUCCAUACUGGGCCCAGUGCUGUUUAAUAUCUUCAUCAAUGAUACUGACAGCAAGAUUGAGUGCACUCUCAGCAAGUUUGCAGAUGACACCAAGCUGAGUGGUGUAGUUGCCACACUGGAAGGAUGGGAUGUCAUCCAAAGGGACCUGGGCAGGCUGGAGAAGUGGGCCUGUGAGAACCUCAUGAGGUUCAACAAGGCCAAGUGCAAGGUCCUACACCUGGAUCAGGGCAAACCACGCUUUCAAUACAGUAUGACGGAUGUUGUGAUUGAGAGCUGCCCUGCGGAGAAGGACUUGGGGGUGCUGAUUGAUGAGAAGCUUGACGUGAGCUGGCAAUGUGUGCUCACAGCACAGAAGGCUGCAUCUUGGUAUCAGUAUCUCGGGCUGCGUCAAAAAAGUGUGGCCAGCAGGUUGAGGUCCCUUCCAACUCAAACCAUUCUAUGGUUCUAUGAUUCAUAUACCACUCAGGACUCUUAAUUCUUCUGUACACAUCUGCACUCAUCAACAUACAUUAGCAGAGCACGCCUAAAUCCCUUCUUCGUUUUGAGCCAUAUAAGACCUAACUCUUCCUUCUGAAACUGAGCAAACUUGAAAGGCUUGGCAGCAUUUCAGUAGAGAUCCAAGGUUACAGUUUCACAUCUCUUGUGAUAAUCUGGAAAGAGCAGGUAUAGGCUUUUUGUCAUUUUUCAUAGCAAUUCCACUUCUCAAGGCCACUCUCUGUCCUUCUCCCCCUUCCUGUAGGGCUUUGAGGAAGUACAGAUCUCCAUCCAACCUGUACAGUGGGAGAGGGAAGAAAAGUGCUUACUCUGACAGCUCAAAGCCCAGGUGAUCACAGAAACAUGCUCUGGAUCACUGGUGGCAUUCAGUGAGCUGACCAGAGACAUCAUCCCAGCUCCUCCAUGCAGACCUGAUGCCAAACAGAGCAUGGUCAUGGGUUACACACUCAGAAAUUCUUUUUCCUUUAUGGUCCAGAAGCUCAGCUUUACAGAGAAAAGUACAAGUCUUAUUUUUAAGCAAAAGAGUUUUGACAGCAUGAAUUAAAAGAUAAACAAGCACUUUAGUCAGCAGUCAACGUGACAAACACAAUAACCUGGCAGCAGCAUUGCACUUCCUUCUUCACUUUGUACAUACCCAGUACAGCUUGCAGUGCACCAAAUAUCUUUGUUAGAAAGACGGCUGUAAAGUCAGGCAACUACAGGAGUGACACCAAUCAAGAAAGCAGUCAAUAGAUACAUCAGGAAACAAAAAAGCAAAAUAAAAGGAAAAACUGGGCAAGAAGCCAGUGUUGAUCAACACAACUACCUGGCAGAUUUUAAUUGUAAACUCCUGAUCUCAAUACAUAAAGAACAUACAUAUACACAGUUUCAGAAACAUUGCAUACCUCUUUUUUUAAAAUCCCUAAACACUUUGGAUGAAUGGUGUUUUUAAAGAAAUUACUCCUGGACAUGAACAAGCCCUCUGUAUCAGAGAUGGGCACACCAACCAACCAACUCUCUGUGACAAGUUUUACUAGCUUCGUGUGUAUAUUCAGUUUCAUACACAGAGAUAAAUGCACACAUUUGGAAUACAAGAGCACAGAAUUCCGUAAGGUGAUAAAUCAGAAAUUCUCCUACCAAUAAAUUACAUAUCAUUCUGAGUCCUUCAAUUACUUCUGCUGAAUAACAGUCACUGAAGACUAAGCCUGUGCAUUUUUGUUGUUUCCUGAUCUGAACACAGAACAAAAACAGGAUCAUAAUUUACUACAGAAGACAAUGAAAAAUCUUAUAAUUGUAAAUAUAUGUAGCAAGAUAAUAUAAAUCUUGUUCCUUGGUAUUUCCCCUCCACCCUCUGCCACUACCACCACCCCUUCCAGCUUUGGGGCCUCUCUCCUGCUUGCAUGGAAGAUUUGACAUCCAUCUUAAAGCCACAAAUUACUCACAAACAGCUAUUGAAAGUAGCAAUGACCAUAGGAUAACACUUCCACAAAGCAAGAGAGCUUCCUGGCAAGCUGAUAAGAGUUUCCUGUUUUGAGUUUUAGGCUGAGUUUCUUAUUUCCCUCAUAAAAAUUUACUCUCUCAAACAUCUUGCAAAAGGAAGGCUCAACAGGCAAUUUUUCAAUUACCCUCCUCCAAACAUGUUGUGUUCAAAGUAUGUUCUGUUUUGCUGAAUGUGAAAUGGGGAGCAGGUCCAAGAAAUCUGAGCACAUCAGCUGAGGUAGCAGGUGAGAGGAGUAUGUUAAGUCCAUCACCAUUUAGGGAUGAUGGAUCUGCUUCAAUGUGUGCAUCAUUGUAACUUGCACUCUCUCCUCUCAGCCUCUGCAUUUUGUGCUGCCUGUAGCAACACCUUCCAUUUCUAGUGCAGGCAAAAAAAUGCUUAAGUCUCCAGGGACAUGAAUUCUGCAUUUAGCUAUUACCAUUGGAGGUGGCAUGACCAUCUGGGUUCAUAUGCACACUUCAGAAUAGCCACCAGAUGGGUGGCUAUUUCUGCUUACUACCAACCUGCUCUGUUUACAUGGAGGAGUCUCAGAUACAGGUUUCCACGCAAAAUCCCAAAGUCACCAGUGAACACUCCUGCACAGAUAGCCCCAUGUUCACAGAAGACCAGAGAUCUCAAUGGGUUUCCCAUGUGAAACCUCCUUUCUAUCACCUCCUGUUCCUGAAUACCAGGUACUAUACUUGAGCCAAAUAGGCUGUAUCAGAGAAAUGAAUAGUUCUCCGUGCCUCUUCUCUGUAAGUGCUACUCUGCCCAAGGGGCUUUUGCUGGAGGAUUCACAAUCCUAGCCUAGGCUUUCACAUGCACUUCUGACCUCGCUUGACCUUCUAGCUUCUCUUCUUCAGAGAAAAAGAAGAAUAAUUGCACACCCUAGAUACAACAUCAAGUAUGAAUAUGUGAUAUCCUGCAGGAGCACAAGAUUCCCACAAAGGAUUUUAGCAUCUAAUCCCCAAAUCACCUCUCAUUAAAAGAGGAAUGGCCAGCUAUAAAUUCAGUAAAUAUCAGAAAAUGAAGGACAAAAUAAUUAAAAUGCGUGGUUUGUCCUCUGGCACGUAGUCCCUGCCCCUGGAAAAGGCAAAGGCAUGGGUAGAGCCCUCAGCUUCUCUGGCACAAGAGCAGCCUGGACAAUUGUGCUAGUGAUUUCAAGAGGACAAAACAGCAAGGCAAUGUUUUGUAAAGCAAAACCUUUUAUGCAUAAGCAAGAUAAUUUUAAAGGGUGAACUUCAAAAUAAAUUGCACCCCACACAACAGCCUUCUGACUAGCACUUUUCCCAAAUCAAACUAGACACCAUUUCACAUCAUUUCUCCUUUAAGCCAAAUUUCAACACUUUGUCUUAGAGUAAACAACAGAAGUGAGACGUACUUACAUAACGUAGCACAGAUCACAGACUUGCAUUUUUGUGGGUUUUCAGAUGUUCGUUUGUCACUGCAUAUGAACCACAUGCAGUCUUUCAAACAUGGAGUUGCUCAACACAAUUUAAUUUCUUGCCCACACUAACUAGCCAGGCUGACAUAGGCUCUUCCCGCAUACUUGCUUCAGUGUACAAGAAGGCAGACAAAGCAAAUGAUGUAUUUAGCUGACCAGGCCAACCACACACAGGACAACAACGGAUGCUGCAACCCUACCAUCUCCCCAAACCAAAAAGCCAUCUUCUAAAAAAAUCAGUAUGGCUGAAACAGCAUCCAGGAUGCUCGCUUCUGCCCUAAGCAUUCAGGAAUAUCCAAAACCAGCACCAAAUGCUUUUUCAUCAUUCACACACAAACACACACUGCCCUUCCUCACCUUUUCUACCUGUUCCCAUGGCACAACUCUCAAUAAUAAAGGCAGUGGAAGCGGCAGCAGCAGCCCAGGGCUGCCAUUCAGUCCCCAGCCUUUCAAACUCACAUGUAAUUGCAUUAAGUAGGAGAUCAGCUCAAGUGAAAGAAAUUAUGCUCUCAAAUUCCUGUUCACUUGGCAUGUCAAACCUCUGCUAAGCAUUUGCAGGGGUAUGGCUAACUUGGGCUGGCCCAAUCAAUGUUUCUGGGCUUCCCUCUCUUGAUGAAGGCUGUAAAUGCUCUCAAGCACUUCUUCGGAACAAACAACCUUUCAAAGUGUGCUUUACAGUCAAAGGCUCAGAGCAAAGCUUUGCUGCAGAAGGUCAAUGCACACUUUUUCUUUAUUUCAUCUGAGAACAGGCAAAUUAGAGGAGUUAUUGGGUAAAUGUUGUGUAGGGUCAGCCUAGGAAGAGCUCGCGGUAACCCCAGGGCAAGCAAGGGCUGAGACCUGCCUCAGGCUCAGCACAUUUGCUCUGUUGCUCCUGUGGAACUUCAAAAGAGUCAACAUUCACAUGCAGUUUCUUAUCUUUGACUGCCAUCUUUCAGAGACUUGCUGCUUUUCUGGGCGGCAUCAAUGUUGACAGACUGUGCUCCCAUGUUACUUGUCCUCUGAGCCUUAAAACUCCCACUGUUGCCACUAUAGCAAGCUAUAGGUAUUCUGCUACAUCUGUAACUCCCAAGGAACUGGUUGUAGCUCCCUGUGGGUUUUGACCCAGCUUAAAACCCUGUGGUGCAAAGAGCCCCAAGUGAGCUCCAAAGCUCUACUGCUUUCCAUUUACAGUUGAAAGGGACUUUUCCCAGGUGGGAGCUAUACAUACACAUAUUAUGGCUAUACAUACACACACAGAGAAAUGUCAGUGCAGUCUGGAGAUGUCUACCUUGUGCAGUUGUUUUAUCUUUUGAGUUUUAUGGCUACAUAUUUAUUGCUUUUUGCAAGCAAAAGGUUCAAGGUCCAAGCCCCACAGAGCUGAAGAAGAUAAGCCUGAAAAUAGCUGCCUGACAGAAUUACUGACAACGUGCCAUUAGGACCGUCUUUGUGAUCAACAGUCCCUGUGGGACUUUCUCCAGUGCCAGCCUGCCCACAGAGCUGGUAAAUCUGGAAAAACUCUGAGGAAAGCCCUGAGAGCAGAUGGAAGUGUUUAAAAGAUGUAUAAAAAUGGUGCUUAGGGUCAUAGUCUAUUAGUAGACUUGGCAGUGUUAGGUUUGCAGUUGAACUUGAUGAUCUUAAGGGUCUUUUCCAAUGUAAAUGAUUCUAGAAUCCAUCUAGCAGAGCCCUGAGUUGCCAAAGAACAAAAACACAGCUGCAACUGGUUGUAUUUCUUGUACAAAUCACACUGGUAAUGAAAAUACACAGCCACAGCACUGUUUUGGCACCUGUAUUUCAGUAUUGAACUGCAGGAAAGGAGGAGAUUUGGGGACUGUGGCUCAGGGCUUGUUUUAUUAAUACAAAUCCACCAGAACGUUGCAAGAUGAUGCUCAAAAUCCAAACCAGACGUGCUGGUCCAUCCCUCGCAAGUGGCAAGAGAGUCACUUGAGCAGGACAGACCCUCAAGAUGCGUAAGUGCAUCAUGUCUGACAUGGACAACUGGAUGCAGAAAUGCUUGGUCAGAGAAAGCCUUGGGCUGAGCAUAGCACAGGGCAGCUCACCGGGCAGUCAGAAACCAAACUCCAUGGCUCAGAAAACUGUCAAGAAGCCACAUGAAGAAGCCUUGAAAGAGCCUCUCCUUGCUUGCCCAGGACACAAGGCUUGGUCACAGCAAGUGAUACAAGGUGGUUAAUUUAAGCCAUUCUCAUAGAGCUCACUGCAAGGAAAAAAGCAAUGCAGCAGAGCAAAUCCCACCAAGAGCAGACAUUGGUAGUAGGCUCCUUCUUGGUGUUCACCAGAAGUUUCUCAAUCAGGCGAGCAGCAAGAACCCUCUAACAGAGGAGAAGCUCAAGGUUUAAUUUUAGUCUGCAACCCAGUGCAUAUCUCUCUCUUUUAUUUUUAAUCUGCACUUCAUGUAAAAAUAGAAUUUCCUGCCACCUGAUAAGGGAUUCCUGUUUUUGUGGUAGGUCUGCCUUCUUGGAAAGCUGGUGCCUAUGGGUUAUUGAUGGGUGCUUCACAGCAUAGUAGGCUGGCCAAGGGAAUAGGACAAACGGUUUUGGGGAUUUACAUUGUUCCUGCUCGCCUUAGGGAGAAAAAAAACUAAAGCAGUUUUCCUCCGUCAACAAAUCACCACCAAAUUUAGCAUUUCCAGAACCCUGGUUUGGAAAAUUCUCUGUUUGCCUGAAUAUUUGCAGUAGCUGUGUUAAAUUUGCAUCCUUCCCAAGUAGAUGUUUGUGAAAAACAAGAGUGCUUAAAGGUGUAUCCUACCUUUUAAGCCUGCUCAUCAACCAGCAGAUAAAUAAAACCACACAAGAACAGCCAUUUCUCCCACCCUUUCUGCUCCUUUAAAACAUGGAACUGACAUGACCUGACACAAGUACCCACGCUCCCCAAUAUAUGUCCUGAUGCAGUACAUAUGGGCCUGCCCCAGGAGGUUGCUCCACGUAUUUGCCUGCACUUUGUAGAACACAGGAGUAACGCGUUUUCAGGGUAGGCUGUUUCAAGCCUGAAUGCCAAUGAUUUCAAUACUCCUGUAAUGCAAAAACAUUGUUUUUCUUAGAUGUGUCUGCUCCAGGCAGGUAUUCACACCCCAAAAUCUUAUUUGAAAGCCAAGGUUACAAGUGUUAUUUAUGAAAGAAAACUGCUGGCAAGGGCUUUGCCACCUGCCAGUUCCUUGCUCUUCUUGCCUGCUUUUCUCUGUGACCAGGGAAGAACUCCUCAAGUACUAAAGUGAGAUGCAGCAAGAGCAACAUCAAGAGGAAUUCACACAUUUCCUGAGUCUCAGGCAGGAGUUUCCCUCAACCUCCUUAUUUCUCCUGUGGAGAUGUGGAUGUAAAAGACGUGGUAUUCAGGACUGAAUGUAGCUUCCACUGCAGCCCAUUCCCAAGACAUCCUUUGUUUUUGCAGUGGGAGGUCGGGAGGAGUGGAGUGUGUCAGAAAUGUGCAGACAAGGUUUUCCUCCUUCUCACAUUCUCUUGAACCUGAUGGACCAUUCUUGGGGACUCCGCCUCAGGUGUGUAAUGGCUCAGAAAGUCAAUAUAGACAAGAACAGCAUGAAAAAUAACCGUUUAGGUGAACCUGAGAAAUACCACUGAUGCUACUCUCAGGCUAGGAAGACCAAGGGGGACAAGGAGGCAAAAAGUGACUUCAGCUCACUGCUGCUGGGGAAGCUCAAGCCUUCAAAGGGGAAGGACAUAUCCUGCAACUGUGAGAAGCUUCAUGCUGACUUCUCCAUGAAACGGUGAAACAAAGACACAGAGGUCUGACCCCAAGACACUAAUAUCUAACCCCAGUUCCCAAACUCUUUGCCAUGGAGCCUGCAGUGUUUUUGCAUGUAUGCAUGUCUUAAUUUUCUUUCUAAAAACAAUUGAUCCCAGUACAAAAAUUACACUAUUUGACUUAAAUAAGACCAGGGGAAUGGAAAUGUUGCAAUACAAUAGAGCCACUAUUGCAUCACUUUUAUUAACUAAAAGAAAAUAAAAAUGUAAGCCUUCUAACAAGAUGUUAAUAGCUGUUCCUUCUGUUCCAGUGCUCACACUCAGUGCCACCUCUCCAUCAGUCAUCUUCUUUGCCUCCUUCUUCAUCUUCAUUGUGAGAAUCAGUUGAAGAUGCUCAAACAGAGUGCAGUGACUGGUUGGGGUCACAAGCUCUCUGAGGCAAACCUGCUGCAAGGUCUUAGAAACAUGAUGCUGCGAUGAUAAGAUGCUUCCCUUGUCUCCAGUCUGUUUGGUGAGACUGAAAUCAAAUGUGCUUCAGCACCAAAAGGGAGAAAAAUGCAAUCUUGCUGAACAGCAUUUUCACAACUGUUUGAGAACAACCACUUGAAGGAGAUCCUAAGACGUUCAAGACCCAUAUCUCCAGCAGCACCACUGUGGCCACCCAAGAAAAGCUUUACAAUCUCUUUGAAUCUGGGGUCCUAGCAGUAGCUUUGACCUCAUAUCAGUGAAGUGAAGUGGUUCCUGAGGAUCCCCCUUUUACUCAUAUCCUAGAGGGAAGAGCAGUCCAAAGAGGAGAAAUAUCUGGAUGAAAUAAAUAAGUGUCUGCCUGGCUUGUUUGUAAGUGCUUCUGGUCUUCCCAAGGCCCUUGUGGUGCUACUGCAUCUUGGAAGUCAGAGGAAGUAGGAGGAAGGCCAAGAGGAACUUGGAGGUGGUUGCAAUGCAAAGCAAGACCAGGAUCUGCUUAGAGAAAUGUUUAGCAGUCAAAUGACUUGUGCUGUCUGGGUAGCACCAUGAAGCUCUGUGAAGAGCUGCUGGGAUGGAAGUGAUGGCGAUUUGUCCCAUUAGCAUCCUUCCACUGCACACAUAGACCAAAACACACACUAUUUUUUUCCCCCAUGGGAUUCCCAUCUGCUACCACGGAGAGGUGAUGACUGUAAUCCCCUUGGGUGACACACAGCAGAAGUUGCACCGCUUCCUCAGCCUCUCCACCAAGGUUAGAUAUUCAUGCUGCUGUAGGCCCAGCGGAGUUGAUGCAAAGUUUAACAUCUUAUAUAGUAAUUAAGAAAAGCCUCUCAACACAGCACCACUAAUUAUAUGAAUCCUCCCUAAAUUACUAAUAGUUCAUAGCACCUUGUAAAAUCCUCAUGUAAUAGCUUUAGAAAAAAAUGACACUCAGCACUGGCAGUAAACCACAAAGCCCACAUAGCAAUUGCAUAGCAUUUUGGAUGUUUACGAGCCUGUUUAAAAAAAAAAAAAAACAACA